AGUGAACGCUGGCGGUAGGCCUAACACAUGCAAGUCGAACGGCAGCACAGUAAGAGCUUGCUCUUACGGGUGGCGAGUGGCGGACGGGUGAGGAAUACAUCGGAAUCUACUUUUUCGUGGGGGAUAACGUAGGGAAACUUACGCUAAUACCGCAUACGACCUACGGGUGAAAGCAGGGGAUCCUCGGACCUUGCGCGAUUGAAUGAGCCGAUGUCGGAUUAGCUAGUUGGCGGGGUAAAGGCCCACCAAGGCGACGAUCCGUGGCUGGUCUGAGAGGAUGAUCAGCCACACUGGAACUGAGACACGGUCCAGACUCCUACGGGAGGCAGCAGUGGGGAAUAUUGGACAAAGGGCGCAAGCCUGAUCCAGCCAUACCGCGUGAGUGAAGAAGGCCUUCGGGUUGUAAAGCCCUUUUGUUGGGAAAGAAAAGCAGCAGGUUAAUACCCCGCUGUUCUGACGGUACCCAAAGAAUAAGCACCGGCUAACUUCGUG
Molecule: ribosomal RNA, 492 nt
Filed under: uncultured bacterium
Lineage: Bacteria
Description: partial 16S ribosomal RNA
Rfam family: Bacterial small subunit ribosomal RNA
Source: RNAcentral